AGUGAACGCUGGCGGUAGGCCUAACACAUGCAAGUCGAACGGCAGCACAGGAGAGCUUGCUCUCUGGGUGGCGAGUGGUGGACGGGUGAGGAAUACAUCGGAAUCUACUCUGUCGUGGGGGAUAACGUAGGGAAACUUACGCUAAUACCGCAUACGACCUACGGGUGAAAGCAGGGGAUCUUCGGACCUUGCGCGAUUGAAUGAGCCGAUGUCGGAUUAGCUAGUUGGCGGGGUAAAGGCCCACCAAGGCGACGAUCCGUAGCUGGUCUGAGAGGAUGAUCAGCCACACUGGAACUGAGACACGGUCCAGACUCCUACGGGAGGCAGCAGUGGGGAAUAUUGGACAAUGGGCGCAAGCCUGAUCCAGCCAUACCGCGUGGGUGAAGAAGGCCUUCGGGUUGUAAAGCCCUUUUGUUGGGAAAGAAAUCCAGCUGGCUAAUACCCGGUUGGGAUGACGGUACCCAAAGAAUAAGCACCGGCUAACUUCGUGCCAGCAGCAGCCGCAG
RNAcentral lists this ribosomal RNA (506 nucleotides) under uncultured bacterium. Its description in RNAcentral is "partial 16S ribosomal RNA". It matches the Rfam family "Bacterial small subunit ribosomal RNA", at positions 29 to 523 of the family's 1533-position model. The record is from RNAcentral.